CCUACGGGAGGCAGCAGUGGGGGAUAUUGCACAAUGGGGGAAACCCUGAUGCAGCGACGCCGCGUGGGUGAAGAAGCGCCUCGGCGCGUAAAGCCCUGUCAGCAGGGAAGAAAAUGACGGUACCUGAAGAAGAAGCCCCGGCUAACUACGUGCCAGCCGCCGCGGUAAUACGUAGGGGGCAAGCGUUAUCCGGAUUUACUGGGUGUAAAGGGGGCGCAGACGGCGAUGCAAGACAGGAGUGAAAGCCCGGGGCCCACCCCCGGGACUGCUCUUGGAACUGCGUGGCUAGAGUGCAGGAGGGGCAGGCGGAAUUCCUGGUGUAGCGGUGAAAUGCGUAGAUAUCAGGAGGAACACCGGUGGCGAAGGCGGCCUGCUGGACUGCAACUGACGUUGAGGCCCGAAAGCGUGGGGAGCAAACAGGAUUAGAUACCCCAGUAGUC
This 440-nucleotide ribosomal RNA is filed under the name uncultured bacterium. Its description in RNAcentral is "partial 16S ribosomal RNA". It matches the Rfam family "Bacterial small subunit ribosomal RNA", at positions 338 to 795 of the family's 1533-position model. The record is from RNAcentral.